RNAcentral lists this long non-coding RNA (1017 nucleotides) under Felis catus (domestic cat). Its description in RNAcentral is "lncRNA (ENSFCAG00000053726.1)". Lineage: Eukaryota; Metazoa; Chordata; Mammalia; Carnivora; Felidae. The record is from RNAcentral.
AUGAUCUGGAGUCGAGAAGCGGCCCGGAACUCUGGGGCAGAAGCGAAGGGAGGAGGGGGCAAUACAUCCUACACCUGCAAUUAUCUGCCGCCGCCGCGAAGCUCCCGUCGGGCCCCCUCCCCCGCUGCGUGGACCCGGGUCUCCCAGCUCCAACCCCCGCCCCCUGUUCCCGGCCUGGGCGCACAGGGGCGCACUCCGUCCUCACCGCGCGCCCUCUCGGAGGUCUCCCGCCACCUCCCGGGGCCGCCUCCAGGCGGGAGCACCACCAGCCCCGACGCGCGCACGGCCGGUUCUCCGCCCCCCACCCCGGGGUGGGCGCUCCGCAGCCCGCACCGCCCCGUCCUGGGAAGGGAGCGCUCUCCCAGCUCCGCCUGGACCCCAAGACCGUGGGAAGCCGCGUCCCAGUCCUCUGACUGGGUUCCUCUUGCUCGCAUCUUCCUUCUAAUUCACAUCCCCACUAUCUUGCAAUUUGUUUUCCAAGCCGUUUCUCUUUUUCUCCGGCUCCCUCAUCUUUCUAUCCUGGUUUCGCCGCCCGCUUUUUAUUUCCCUCUCCUUCCGCUUUCUGUCUGCCCUUGCGUAAAUUCCACGCUUUGGGCUUCGCGCCUCCCGCUCGACUCCCUUUUCCUGCCCCACCCCCAUCCCACGCGCCCCGUCCAGAAGGUGGCUCCUGCCCCUGGGAUUCGACCUGCCCCGGAUGGGACCUCCAGGGGCCGGGCAGAGAGCGUCCCGAAGCACGCACCUCUCUUCGCCAGCGCCAGGGCUGCGCCGGCCCACGCGACAUCUGUCGCCCGCGCUCCCGGCUCACACCCUGCGCACCCCCGCAGCUCCCCUGGCGCUGUCACCCCCCACGCUCCGGCUGCCGCCUCUCUCCGCGGGCGCCGCGCCAGCUUCCCAGGGUGUCGGCGCACGGCGGGGCUCGGCCAGGACUCGGCCAGGGCCCAGCGCUCGGCAUCUGUGGGGUCGUGGCACCCGGGGCCGCCGGCUUUCUCAGCUUCGACCUUCACCUUCCAGCCCUAG